CCUACGGGAGGCUGCAGUGGGGAAUAUUGCGCAAUGGGCGAAAGCCUGACGCAGCGACGCCGCGUGAGGGAUGAAGGUCUUCGGAUCGUAAACCUCUGUCAGCAGGGAAGAACGGUCACUGUGCUAAUCAGCAGUGAAUUGACGGUACCUGCAAAGGAAGCACCGGCUAACUCCGUGCCAGCAGCCGCGGUAAUACGGAGGGUGCGAGCGUUAAUCGGAAUUACUGGGCGUAAAGCGCUCGUAGGCGGUAUGUCAAGUCAAGGGUGAAAUCCCCGCGCUCAACGUGGGAACUGCCUUUGAAACUGGCAAACUGGAGUGUGGGAGAGGAUAGUGGAAUGCCAGGUGUAGGAGUGAAAUGCGUAGAUAUCUGGAGGAACAUCAGUGGCGAAGGCGACUAUCUGGCACAUAACUGACGCUGAGGAGCGAAAGCGUGGGUAGCAAACAGGAUUAGAUACCCUAGUAGUC
Molecule: ribosomal RNA, 465 nt
Filed under: uncultured bacterium
Lineage: Bacteria
Description: partial 16S ribosomal RNA
Rfam family: Bacterial small subunit ribosomal RNA
Source: RNAcentral